GGAUGUGAGGGGGGAUCUGGCUGCAACAUCUGUAACCCCAUUGAUCACCAGGGUUGAUUCAGCUGAUCUGACUGGCUAGGCGGGUGUCCCCUUCCUCCCUCAACGCUCCAAGUGCAUCGGUCCUGAAGCUGCACACUUGGUCAAAGAGGACGACCACCCCCGAUAGAGGAGGACCGUUCCUUGAUCAAGGGUAUAGAGUCGCUGCACUCCCCUGCUAGAACGUCCAAAGAAGCUCUCAAGGAAUUCACACAGGUGUCUUACUUCUGCUCCACUGUUUCUGGGGUUUCAGUUGUAGGGGCUCUCGAAAAGCUGGGGGUUGGAGGACCCCAUUCUAGACUUU
RNAcentral lists this small nuclear RNA (340 nucleotides) under Chinchilla lanigera (long-tailed chinchilla). RNAcentral describes it as "7SK RNA (ENSCLAG00000021630.1)". It matches the Rfam family "7SK RNA". Rfam says of the family: 7SK was discovered as an abundant small nuclear RNA in the mid-70s but a possible function has only recently been suggested. Lineage: Eukaryota; Metazoa; Chordata; Mammalia; Rodentia; Chinchillidae. The record is from RNAcentral.